GUGAGGAAUCUUCCACAAUGGGCGAAAGCCUGAUGGAGCAACGCCGCGUGAAGGAUGAAGGUCUUCGGAUUGUAAACUUCUUUUAUGAGUGAAGAAUAUGACGGUAACUCAUGAAUAAGCACCGGCUAACUACGUGCCAGCAGCCGCGGUCAUACGUAGGGUGCAAGCAUUAUCCGGAGUGACUGGGCGUAAAGAGUUGCGUAGGCGGUUAUGUAAGCGAAUAGUGAAACCUGGUGGCUCAACCACACAGACUAUUAUUCGAACUGCAUAACUCGAGAACGGUAGAGGUAACUGGAACUUCUUGUGUAGGAGUGAGAUCCGUAGAUAUAAGAAGUAACACCAAUGGCGUAGGCAGGUUACUGGGCCAUUUCUGACGCUAAGGCACGAAAGCGUGGGGAGCGAACCGGAUUAGAAACCCGGGUAGUCC
RNAcentral lists this ribosomal RNA (427 nucleotides) under uncultured bacterium. RNAcentral's name for it is "partial 16S ribosomal RNA". It matches the Rfam family "Bacterial small subunit ribosomal RNA", at positions 354 to 796 of the family's 1533-position model. The record is from RNAcentral.